Varroa destructor (honeybee mite) is the source of this 2248-nucleotide non-coding RNA. The record is from RefSeq and is a predicted model, not a curated record. NCBI's taxonomy places the organism in Eukaryota, Metazoa, Arthropoda, Arachnida, Mesostigmata, Varroidae.
CCAAUUAAUACUUCAUCUUCCUUUUACUAAAAAAGUUAAAGUGAUCUGCUUGACUUAUAAACUUUCACGUUUACACUUGUACUUCCAUAUAUAUUUAUUUUUUACGUGAAUAUUAUGUGUCAGCUAAUCAAGCCAAAGCCAGAUACAGAGGCAUUAAACAUAUCUAAGUCUGACCCAUACACACAUAUGACAGUGAAUUUUAAUGGGACUUUUAUGCCUACUAGACACAGUCGUCAGACCGUCGUAUCUUAUUGACCGAAGUUUUCAUUCAGGGCUACGCACGCGUUGAACAGAUUAUCCGUCUGGCAUAACCGCGCUGGAACAACUGACAAUUGUUAUCGAAAAACGAAAAUAUUUAUGAAAUAUCUACCUAUUGCAAAAGUAAAGAGUAUUUCAUAACAGCGAGUGAGUAAAGUCGUUUAUUGGGGCCGUUUUGGGCUCUAAAAACGGUGAGGUUUCCCUCUGUGUCCAUGACUUCCGUGACUCUUCAUGUGAGGCGUACAGUCAAUGACAGGAACACACGUCAGAACUUAAGCGAACCAUCAAAAUGCGGAGCGGCCGGAUAUUCAAGUCAACGUGACAUCUGUGUGUAUCGAUUACAUCCAGCGGUAUAUUUCGUAUGACUCGAUCUUUGCCAAACCGUGGAGAAGGGCUUUUGGCAAACGAGUAAUGUCGUCGAGCUGUACCGCCAUUACUUCAGAUAGUUUCGACGAGCUCUUUCAGACCAAAUCAAAAAGUACUUGGAGCAAACUACUUUCCUGUUGUUGCUGGUUUCCUCAAAGACGCAAAAAUGUUCGAGUAGUUCCUAUAUUGAAGACACCUAAACUGAGACAAGUCAUUGUAAGUGAAAAUGUAUCUCGCCAAGACAAGGUUCAAAUCCGGAUGUCCCUCGUGGAGGAGCGAUCAUUAACGCCAAUCACAACAGACACAGCCUAUGCAAAACCGCCAAUUCAUAAAAGGCGAAAACUGAUUGCUGCGGCUCACGAGUUCAGUGAGCUCAUGACUUUUAAUAGGAUUGAAGUUGAUACCGAGCCAAUCAUUACCUCGAAAAGCAAACGGAAUGCGGUAAGGUUUCAGCUUUGCCGUCUCCGAAAGUCUGCCGGCGAAAGACGGCGUCACGAACAGGAACUUAGUAAUCGUUUGGCUGCACUAGAGCUUCGACUUCGUGAUAUCGACGACGAGGUCAUUUCCUCGUCGGAGUCAAAUCGACGACCCGAUGAAAGGAAAUUUGGCGCGCGUGCAGAUCAUAAAGUGCCAAGAAUGGCUACUCGUGAAAUAGAACGUAGAUCACUGAGAAAACCGAAAGAAAUCUGUGCAAUAGAUCGCUCGACUAAAAGCUGAAAAUCGAACCGGGAGCUGAAAGUUGAGAAUUUCAAUGUAUUGCAAAAGGAUGGUAUUGAAGCAUCACGAGCGCCGCCGAAAAUCAAUGCCAUAUUGGACAUGUGAUGAUUGCGAUUCGCGAUCCAAGAUUCAGAAGCACUCCUUUAGGAAGAGUCGAGUAGAUGGAAUACAGGUACCCUAAGGCACUCAAGUACAGCAAACCUUCAAGGAGCCGGUUGGCAUCACGACCUAGAACAUCCACGGGGAUACCUGGCAUUACCCAUAAAUUAGUCCUGGUUAAAAAAAAACUGCAGUAAGAAGUCGCUUACGGUAUACGCUAUGUCGUAUCUAUUAUUGCUUAGUUCAUGUGGAAGACUAAUGCUUUAACCAGUUAAUAUGGCUUUCUAAGAUAUGUACUCAUCUAAGUCUUCUCCUAAAAAUCGAUUAAGCAGGCAACAGAUUUCGUAGGAAAAUUACAUAAUGAAAAAUACAAAAUUCGAACAGAUGUAGACAGUAUAAACGCGCGGUUUCUUAUGCGUGCUUUUCCCAACUAACGAACUAUUAAUUUCUAUUGUUAGCUGGACGAGUGUAGGCAACUUUGUCCAUUCUAUUAACAUAAACAUGUACACAAUUCUUUAUAGAUACGGCAAGCGUAUACGAGAGUUAAAUUGAUUCAAGGAAAAUAUAUGUUACUAUUGUACUAUGCAUGUGCUGUUUGAAUGAAGUUAGCAUUUCAAUUAAAGUACUCACUAAAAAUACAGAUGAGUGCUUGUAGUAGAAGCGUUUAUCUAAAGGUUUUCGUCGACAAAGGAUGAAAAUCGUAUUAUUCUACACACUGAUGACUAGUUAUGAAUAUAUCAUAGUUCAAUAUCUGAACAUCGACUCAGAGCAGACUUUGUUGCAGACAGCGUAUAAGAAGUUCUACAGA